CGCGCGGGCGCCCCCGCCGGAAGGUCAGUUGCAAAGCGGUCGGUCUUGGGCCUGGGACCAGAAGCCCCCUCCCGACCGCGCUACGGAGCCCGGCGCUCAGGUCCCGCAGGCCGCCUCGCUGGGACCUCCGGAGGCUUCCGCUUCUUCUCUUCCCCCUGUGCUCUCUUAGGCGGCUCCACGGGUCGCAUCUUUCAGUGCCCAGAUAGACUGAAGUGCGGCCAAGCGGAGUUCAUUCACUAUUCAGCCAGUACUUGGGCGUCGCCGUGGCCGGGCGCCCUUCUAGGCUCCGCGCAUCCCGUGAAGAAGGACGGAGCCCUGUUCUCACGGAGGGUACACUUUAGUAGGGGAGUGUUUGCGUGAUAGGCAGGGAAAGGGAAAGGAAGGCGUUGUGGCUGCCAUUGAUGUGCUGUGCUGCUCCCAGCCUUCUGCUUAAGGCCUGGACAGAGUUGGGUGGGUAUCGCCGUGAAUGGCCUAUCCACGCCACUGCCUUCAUCUCGCUGAAGAUCCACCAGCUGGCCGAAUUUCCCUGGAGUCUCAUUCCAGGCGUUGGCUGGGGGCUGGGAGGCUGGCGCCAGUUGAGAAGCCGAGCACCCAGCCCCACUUAAUGAGAAGUUAAUUGGAUCCUCGAGGACCCAAGGUCCCCGGUGGCAUAUAGAUCUCCAGCCUUGGGCAGGCUCUGCUCAGUCCCUGGAUGAAGAAGCCUGGAGGUUCCUGAGAUAUAUCAGCACCACCCAGGUUGUGUUUCAGGCUCAAACGAGUUAGAGAAGAAUG
RNAcentral lists this small RNA (771 nucleotides) under Pan troglodytes (chimpanzee). RNAcentral describes it as "processed transcript". The record is from RNAcentral. Lineage: Eukaryota; Metazoa; Chordata; Mammalia; Primates; Hominidae.